RNAcentral lists this ribosomal RNA (797 nucleotides) under uncultured bacterium. RNAcentral's name for it is "bacterial SSU rRNA". It matches the Rfam family "Bacterial small subunit ribosomal RNA", at positions 627 to 1424 of the family's 1533-position model. The record is from RNAcentral.
UGGAAACUNUCUGACUUGAGUGCAGAAGGGGAGAGUGGAAUNCCAUGUGUAGCGGUGAAAUGCGUAGAUAUAUGGAGGAACACCAGUGGCGAAAGCGGCUCUCUGGUCUGUCACUGACGCUGAGGCUNGAAAGCGUGGGUAGCGAACAGGAUUAGAUACCCUGGUAGUCCACGCCGUAAACGAUGAGUGCUAGGUGUUAGGCCCUCUCCGGGGCUUAGUGCCGGAGCUAACGCAAUAAGCACUCCGCCUGGGGAGUACGACCGCAAGGUUGAAACUCAAAGGAAUUGACGGGGGCCCGCACAAGCGGUGGAGCAUGUGGUUUAAUUCGAAGCAACGCGAAGAACCUUACCAGGUCUUGACAUCCCGAUGCUAUUCUUAGAGAUAGGAAGUUACUUCGGUACAUCGGAGACAGGUGGUGCAUGGUUGUCGUCAGCUCGUGUCGUGAGAUGUUGGGUUAAGUCCCGCAACGAGCGCAACCCUUAUUGUUAGUUGCCAUCAUUAAGUUGGGCACUCUAGCGAGACUGCCGGUAAUAAACCGGAGGAAGGUGGGGAUGACGUCAAAUCAUCAUGCCCCUUAUGACCUGGGCUACACACGUGCUACAAUGGUCGGUACAACGAGUUGCGAGCCGGUGACGGCAAGCUAAUCUCUGAAAGCCGAUCUCAGUUCGGAUUGGAGGCUGCAACUCGCCUCCAUGAAGUCGGAAUCGCUAGUAAUCGCGGAUCAGCACGCCGCGGUGAAUACGUUCCCGGGCCUUGUACACACCGCCCGUCACACCACGAGAGUUUGUAACACCNGA